GAGAAGCUCUUCAUAGGAGGAGACCUCAAUGGCCACGUGGGUACAUCUAACACAGGUUUUGAAGGGGCGCAUGGGGGCUUUGGCUAUGGCAUCAGGAAUCAAGAAGGAGAAGAUGUCUUAAGCUUUGCUCUAGCCUACAACAUGAUUAUAGCUAACACCCUCUUUAGAAAGAGAGAAUCACAUCUGGUGACUUUUAGUAGUGGCCAACACUCUAGCCAGAUUGAUUUCAUCCUCUCGAGAAGAGAAGAUAGGCGUGCGUGCCUAGACUGUAAGGUGAUACCUGAAGAGAGUGUUGUACCCCAGCAUAAGCUGGUGGUUGCUGACUUCCGCUUUCGGAUUCUUGUCCAGCGGGAUAAGCGUGUCAGAGUCGCUAGAACGAAGUGGUGGAAGCUCAAGGGGGAGGUAGCCCAGGCGUUCAAGGAGAGGGUCAUUAAGGAGGGCCCUUGGGAGGAAGGAGGGGAUGCGGACAAUGUGUGGAUGAAGAUGGCGACUUGCAUUCGUAAGGUGGCCUCGGAGGAGUUUGGAGUGUCCAGGGGAAGGAGAAGCGAAGAUAAGGAUACCUGGUGGUGGAAUGAUGAUGUCCAGAAGGCGAUUAAAGAGAAGAAAGAU
This 609-nucleotide ribosomal RNA is filed under the name Triticum aestivum (bread wheat). Its description in RNAcentral is "partial small subunit ribosomal RNA". Lineage: Eukaryota; Viridiplantae; Streptophyta; Magnoliopsida; Poales; Poaceae. The record is from RNAcentral.